Octodon degus (degu) is the source of this 1004-nucleotide RNA transcript. It is a transcript of the gene named nuclease-sensitive element-binding protein 1 pseudogene, with no coding region annotated. The transcript is spliced from 3 exons. The record is from RefSeq and is a predicted model, not a curated record. NCBI's taxonomy places the organism in Eukaryota, Metazoa, Chordata, Mammalia, Rodentia, Octodontidae.
AUGGUGAACAAGCAGUUGCGGCCCGUCACCAUCACCGCAACCGUGAGCAGCGAGGCCGAGAGCCAGCAGCCGCCCGCCCCUCCCGCCCUCAGCGCUGCUGACACCGAGCCCGGCACCACGGGCAGCAGCGCAGGGAGCGGCGGCCAGGGCGGCCUCACCUCGGCGGCGCCUGCCGGCGGGGACAAGAAGGUCAUCGCAACGAAGGUUUUAGGAACAGUAAAAUGGUUUAAUGUAAGAAACGGAUAUGGCUUCAUCAACAGGAAUGACACCAGGGAAGAUGGAUUUGUACACCAGGCUGCCAUAAAGAAGAACAACCCCAGGAAGGACCUGCGCAGUGUAGGAGAUGGAGAGACUGUGGAGUUUGAUGUUGUUGAAGGAGAAAAGGGUGCGGAGGCAGCAAAUGUUACAGGCCCUGGUGGAGUUCCAGUUCAAGACAGUAAAUAUGCAGCAGACCAUAACCAUUAUAUACGCUAUCCACGUCGUAGGGAUCCUCCACGCAAUUACCAGCAGAAUUACCAGAAUAGUGAGAGUGGGGAAAAGAAUGAGGGAUCGGAGAGCGCUCCCGAAGGCCAGGCCCAACAACGCCGGCCCUACCGCAGGCGAAGGUUCCCACCUUACUACUUGCGGAGACCCGAUGGGCAUCGACCACAGUAUUCCAACCCUCCUGUGCAAGGAGAAGUGAUGGAGGGUGCUGACAGCCAGGGUGCAGGAGAACAAGGUAGACAAGUGAGACAGAAUAUGUAUCGAGGUUAUAGACCCCGAUUCCGCAGGAGCCCUCCUCGCCAAAGACAGCCUAGAGAGGAUGGCAAUGAAGAAGAUAAGGAAAAUCAAGGAGAUGAGACCCAAGGUCAGCAGCCACCUCAACGUCGGUACCGUCGCAACUUCAAUUACCGAUGCAAAUGCCCAGAAAACCCUGAACCACAAGAUGGCAAAGAGACAGAAGCAGCCGUCCACCAGCUGAGAAUUCAUCCACUCCCAAGGCUGAGCAGGGCGGGGCUGAGUAA